GACGAACCGUGCGAACGUUGUUCGGAAUCACUGGGCUUAAAGGGCGCGUAGGCGGGCCAUCAAGUCCGGGGUGAAAUCCUUCGGCUUAACCGGAGAAUUGCCUUGGAUACUGGUGGUCUUGAGGGAAGUAGGGGUCUGCGGAACUUCCGGUGGAGCGGUGAAAUGUGUUGAUAUCGGAAGGAACGCCGGUGGCGAAAGCGGCGGACUGGGCUUCUUCUGACGCUGAGGCGCGAAAGCUAGGGGAGCAAACGGGAUUAGAAACCCCCGUAGUCC
RNAcentral lists this ribosomal RNA (273 nucleotides) under uncultured bacterium. RNAcentral's name for it is "partial 16S ribosomal RNA". It matches the Rfam family "Bacterial small subunit ribosomal RNA", at positions 524 to 796 of the family's 1533-position model. The record is from RNAcentral.